This is an RNA transcript of Morus notabilis, 1866 nucleotides long. RefSeq lists it as uncharacterized. The record is from RefSeq and is a predicted model, not a curated record. Lineage: Eukaryota; Viridiplantae; Streptophyta; Magnoliopsida; Rosales; Moraceae. The transcript is spliced from 6 exons.
UCCAAUUUUCCUGCUCGCUCCUCCCUCCUUUUUUUUUUUUGGGUUUGAAAUGAAUCUAACUUCUCCAUAUACAUUAUACGAACAAAGGAAAGGAGAAAAAAAAAACUCAUUCUCCCACAUUGUCGAAGACUCAGUUUAGGUUUUUCAGAUCUCUCUCUUUUCAAUUCAAACAAAAACCAAAGCCAGAACAUCAAAAACCGAAGCCCCUCUCUCGUGUUUUUAGAUCUCUCUCUCUCUCUCGUUCAAGCUCGUGAACCCCCCAUCCAAAAUUCAUCAAUCUCAAAAAUCCAAUUCCAAAACAAACCCAGUUCGUCCCUCACCUCUCAAAUCCUCGGCAGGGACGGCGCUGCAAUUUCGAAAAUCUAGCUGGGGCAGGGUAGUGGGCUGCUGCGACGGCAUCAUCUGGCGAGGAAAACCCAGAAAGCCCAACGAAGCUUCCAGAUCCGCCCCAUGGAUUUUGAUGGGGUUUCUUUGAAACUUCUGGAUAUUCAGAUUUGUGGGGUUUCUUUGAAACUUCUAGAGAUUCAAAAACCCUCUCUCUCAGAAUUCAGUGCAUCCAUGGUUUUUUUUUUUUUUUUUGGUGUUGAUCUGAUUUUGUUUUUGGUCUGAAAAUAUUGAUUCUCAUGUUGUGUAGAGAGGCUCUAAUGCCGAAGCUCCUGCGCUCUGACUUCUACACAGAGCCACGAAUCCAAGAACUGGCUGCCAAGGAAAGAGCAUAACCAGGGUUCUGCCGCCACGUCAAAUUUACAGUGGAAAACUAACAUCGGUGAUAUCCAGAAAGCACCAGUGUCUGUUCUGUUUCUUUGGGGGGUUCUUGCAUUCUUUUAGUUCUGUUCCUAUAGAUUCUUGCUAUUUAGGCUCCAAUAAUUCUGCCUUCCUGUAGCAGUGCAAAGCCAGCAGGCACUACCUCUUCUCCAUACACAGUACAGGAAAUGGUAGAUGGAAAAGAAGCUGCAAAGAGAUCCAACGAUGGUGUUUCUGAUUCACAGUACUGGAGAUAUGAUGUCUCACAAAAAUGACAGAAACAUGGAGACGGAGAUGGUAAUAAGCUUUGCUUUAAAUUUGUUUCCUAUGGCUCUUGUCCACGAGGGGAAAAAUGUCACUUUCAACAUGAUGCGGAUGCGAGGGAACAAUCUAUGAGGGGUGUUUGUUUUGAUUUUCUCAACAAGGAAAAAUGUGAAAGGGGUCCAGAUUGUGACUUCAAGCACAGCUUACAAGAUGAAGGUGAGGGAUAUUCUCACAGGAGACGUGGAUCUGAAAAUGCUUCAACUAACAGGAUGAGAAAUUUUUUAUUUGGUAUUCUGGACAAGAGGAAAGACAAUUGAGAGUGAGCUCUAUUAUGAUGAUUAUAAGUGGUGGAACAGCCUCAGCCUGCCCCCGUCGCCGUAUUGGGACCGCAGGCACUCGCUGCCCCGCCGCUCGCCUCCACCGUUGUAUAAGUGGUCGAGGAGGGACGAUGGAGGGUACGAUGGGAGGAGUCCUAGAGGAGGGUUUGGACCUGGCGAUAGAAGGGAUGGAUAUAGGUGGGAAUUCCAACCCGCUGGGUUCUAAUGAAUCAGACUAUGACAGUGAUGAUAAUUUUUUCAUGCAAGUUGUCGCUGCGGCGACUAUGCUAUGUGUUGGAUUUGUAUACAGAGAACCUUCUCGCCGAAGGCACACUUCUGGUUGGGGAGGCGCACUUAGAGUGCAUUAUUAUCUGGAACGUAGUCCAACAGUGAUGUAUGACAGUCCGUAUGAGUAGUGAUGCAUUCUUGCGCCUAAGUUUUAUCCUUGAGGAAAGGGGCUUAUUGCAACCAACUGUCCACCUAAAUGUUGAUGAGCAAUUAUUCAUAUUCCUAACUAUAUUAUGUCAGAAUCAAACUAACA